CGAAAGGCGUGGGGAGCAAACAGGAUUAGAUACACUGGUAGUCCACGCCGUAAACGAUGUCGAUUUGGAGGCUGUGUCCUUGAGACGUGGCUUCCGGAGCUAACGCGUUAAAUCGACCGCCUGGGGAGUACGGCCGCAAGGUUAAAACUCAAAAUGAAUUGACGGGGGCCCCGCACAAGCGGUGGAGCAUGUGGUUUAAUUCGAUGCAACGCGAAGAACCUUACCUACUCUUGACAUCCACGGAAUUUAGCAGAGAUGCUUUAGUGCCUUCGGGAACCGUGAGACAGGUGCUGCAUGGCUGUCGUCAGCUCGUGUUGUGAAAUGUUGGGUUAAGUCCCGCAACGAGCGCAACCCUUAUCCUUUGUUGCCAGCGGUUCGGCCGGGAACUCAAAGGAGACUGCCAGUGAUAAACUGGAGGAAGGUGGGGAUGACGUCAAGUCAUCAUGGCCCUUACGAGUAGGGCUACACACGUGCUACAAUGGCAUAUACAAAGAGAAGCGACCUCGCGAGAGCAAGCGGACCUCAUAAAGUAUGUCGUAGUCCGGAUUGGAGUCUGCAACUCGACUCCAUGAAGUCGGAAUCGCUAGUAAUCGUAGAUCAGAAUGCUACGGUGAAUACGUUCCCGGGCCUUGUACACACCGCCCGUCACACCAUGGGAGUGGGUUGCAAAAGAAGUAGGUAGCUUAACCUUCGGGAGGGCGCUUACCACUUUGUGAUUCAUGACUGGGGUGAAGUCGUAACAAGGUAACC
Molecule: ribosomal RNA, 750 nt
Filed under: uncultured bacterium
Lineage: Bacteria
Description: bacterial SSU rRNA
Rfam family: Bacterial small subunit ribosomal RNA
Source: RNAcentral